AACGAACGCUGGCGGCAGGCCUAACACAUGCAAGUCGAACGCCCCGCAAGGGGAGUGGCGCACGGGUGAGUAACACGUGGGAACCUACCUUCUGGUACGGAACAACCAAGGGAAACUUUGGCUAAUACCGUAUACGACCUCCGGGUGAAAGAUUUAUCGCCGGAGGAGGGGCCCGCGUCCGAUUAGGUAGUUGGUGGGGUAACGGCCUACCAAGCCGACGAUCGGUAGCUGGUCUGAGAGGAUGACCAGCCACACUGGGACUGAGACACGGCCCAGACUCCUACGGGAGGCAGCAGUGGGGAAUAUUGGACAAUGGGCGAAAGCCUGAUCCAGCCAUGCCGCGUGAGUGAUGAAGGCCUUCGGGUUGUAAAGCUCUUUCACCCACGACGAUGAUGACGGUAGUGGGAGAAGAAGCCCCGGCUAACUUCGUGCCAGCAGCCGCGGUAAUACGAAGGGGGCAAGCGUUGUUCGGAAUGACUGGGCGUAAAGGGCGCGUAGGCGGUUCGUUGCGUCAGAUGUGAAAGCCCCGGGCUCAACCUGGGAACUGCAUUUGAUACGGGCGGGCUUGAAUCCAAGAGAGGGUGGUGGAAUUCCCAGUGUAGAGGUGAAAUUCGUAGAUAUUGGGAAGAACACCAGUGGCGAAGGCGGCCACCUGGCUUGGUAUUGACGCUGAGGCGCGAAAGCGUGGGGAGCAAACAG
RNAcentral lists this ribosomal RNA (699 nucleotides) under uncultured Alphaproteobacteria bacterium. Its description in RNAcentral is "bacterial SSU rRNA". It matches the Rfam family "Bacterial small subunit ribosomal RNA", at positions 28 to 775 of the family's 1533-position model. The record is from RNAcentral. Lineage: Bacteria; Pseudomonadati; Pseudomonadota; Alphaproteobacteria.